Long non-coding RNA from Anguilla anguilla (European eel), 2347 nucleotides. RefSeq lists it as uncharacterized. The record is from RefSeq and is a predicted model, not a curated record. Lineage: Eukaryota; Metazoa; Chordata; Actinopteri; Anguilliformes; Anguillidae. The transcript has 2 exons.
AAGCUAGCAAGUGCUUGUUACUUUGACUCCCGAAUAUGUGCGGCAGCUGCUGGUUCCGGUUUUGCACAAAAUGUUAUUUAUUUUAGCUACGGGAAUAACUGGAUAACAGUGUUUGUUAAUCGUAUAUCUUAGUAACUGGCCCCGUAUCGGGUUAUACACUUGAGGAAAAGGAAUGUUUCAUAAAGCUCUUUUUGAUUGUUUCUGCGGGACGACAUGCUGAAAAUCAGGUUAUUGCAUUGCGGUCAGAAAAAGAUGUUGUGGUGGCUGGCAUACACAGGCAUUCUAUAAAAAAGAAAGCAAUUUGGAUACAACUUCCUGAACGAGAACCAAAUCCCUUUGGAGUGCAACAAUGCAUGAAGUGAUCAGAAUCUAAGUGUUGAAGCUCUUCUUGUUCCUUGACAGACCUGGUGUAGGACAGUAGACAUGUGUGUCUGCAGCUGCAUAUUCCAUGGAACUUCCCAAUAUGCUUUGCAGUGCAGUGUACAAGACCAGUCCCUUCUGGACCCAGGAAUCUGCAUCCCCUUCAGCUAACUCCUUACCAUUUUCAUGAACAAUGCAGUUGAAGCAUUGCAUGAUAAUUAAUAUUGAUCCAGCAUGCAUGUGCCACAAAUUAGGAUGGAAAAGGUGAUCGUAAUAUUUAUCUUGUCAAAUUUAUGGACUUGGGUUGCUCCCCAUGAGGUAACUGGGAGGAGAAAAAUUUAGCAUGUGUCAUUUUAGCAUUAAAAAACUUUUAAUGCUAAAAUGACACAAGAAGAUUGAUUCUGUGUUGGAAAGCAACACAUUAUAUUACAGGAAUUUAGCAGACACUCUUAUCCAGAGUGACUUACACAACAUUUUACAUAGCAUUUACAUUGCAUCCAUUUAUACAGCUGGAUAUAUACUGAAGCAAUACAAGUUAAAUACCUUGCUCAAGGGUACAACGGCAGUGUCCCAUCCAGAAAUCAAAUCUGUGACCUUUAGGUUACAAGACAAGUUCCUUACCCAUUAUACUAUACUGCCACCACCUGAACAUGCUGGAUGGUGUGGUCUGUGGGGUUCGGCUCCAGGUAAUGUAAGCAGCUGGGACUGCUCUAACUGGAAAGCCCCCCAUCCCAAAACUCUCAGAGCACCUAAAUAAUUUGGAUAGUUAAAUUGCAAAAUUGUGACCUAUAUAGUUCCUGAAAGUACUUUCAUUGCCUGGAAGUGAAAGAGGCUGACCAUCUGUGCUGAAGACGGAUUCUGUUACUUAUGCUUCUUCACUGGAGGCACAGAUUUCCUACAAAUACCAUUAAGUGUUUUGUGAGUCCAUUCAACCUGCUGUUUACUGUUGAAUGACACCAAGAGCUUUUUAAUUAAUUCCCAUAAAGGACAGAACGUUCAAUUCUGCAGGGUAACCACAAACUCUAUAGUUUAAAUAUGAUACAUGUAUUUUCUUGUUUUUCAUAAUCCAGGUGUAAUCAGAAUGAAUCUGUUGAGAACAUAUUGGGAUUGAUAAGGCUUAUAUUGCAUACUGGGUCUACAUUUAUUAUUUUCUUUUUGUUCUUUUAUCUUGUCUGCAUGUCUUGUUCUUUUAAAGGUGUUAUCUGUUUAUUUUGAGACUUGAAUAACGCCCGCCUGCUGGUGCAUUCGAGAUUUAUACUCAACAUUCCAACAGUUGCACUCAUACGGGUCCCUUGCGGCCCCUAGCGAUUUGUUUUAGUAUGGCAACCUUUCGACUGCUCCAUUUCCCCUGGUUGUGUUUCAGAAGUAAUUAUGGGUAAGACGUCACCUUUGGUUUAUAAGGGAGAUUCGCCAUUAAUGUAACGCUUAAUAAAUGUUACACGGUCAAUAACUUAAUGUACAAUGUGGCUAACGUAGCCAUUUCACGUUUGUACAUGUGCAACUCAGUUCUCUCCCACCUCCCAAAAGGAACGGAGAAAUGUGUUAACAUUUAAGGAAAUAUUUCCCAAAAAAAAACGGUUUUUAAGGGAGCUACGUAAAAAUCGGUUCCAGGUACAAGGCAUUUAAAAAAAAAAAAAUCAUACAUCAUUAAAAAAGUUAAUAUGGUUUUCUGACUGUAUUCUAGCGGGAAUUGGGUGCUACAGUAGGUGACCAAUACACGUAAUUUCCCCGUCUGUAUAAAUGUAACAGCUGCCACAGUUAUGCCGCCUGUGCGCAGCAAUAUACGAAACAACGUGCUGUUAUAUGUUUACAGAAUGCCAUCUAAAAAGAAAACGAGAGGGUAGGUACCCAGGGAGGUCAUGGAGAAGAUUGAGAGAUUAUGGACACUGGAUGGUGUUGAAAACCAUCUAUCUACAUGUACUGUCCUUUUGGGGAGACCUUAGGCAUUUAUGAUGGUGUUUAAUAUUUAUUAAAUUAAUUAAUUUUA